Molecule: long non-coding RNA, 2230 nt
Filed under: Homo sapiens (human)
Lineage: Eukaryota; Metazoa; Chordata; Mammalia; Primates; Hominidae
Description: HSALNT0218520
Source: RNAcentral
GGAAAACUUGUAAGAGAAACUACUUGCAAAGAAUUUACAAAAGAGUUACAGAUACAAUGUUUAAUGCUGAUUCCCCAUGUUUAUGAGAUUACCAUCUUCUAAUGCCUAAGUUUCCAUUCAUUCACAUAGGAAAAGAAAAAUAAACUUUAAUUAGAGUUCAGUGUGGCCAUAUAUCUCUGGAAGGUAACAAUGAUGAGAGAGAAGAGAUGGACCUACUCUCUUUGAUUAAUUUUAUGUAGGUUUUCUUGGCAUGUUACAUGGUGUACAAGUCAGCUUUCUAGGUUACACUGAGGUAAAAAAAAUCUUCAAAUCUCAGAGGCUUACAACAACAACAGUUUAACAAUUGCUUAAGUUGAAUAUUGGCUGGAAAGACAGCUGACUAUUUCAGCUGAACUGUUCUGCUUAGAGGUUUAUUUUCUUUCCCAGUCCUGCUGAAGGAGCACCUUCUCUCUGCAAAAUGCCUUCUUUUGCUAGAGGACUACCAGAACCAUGCAUUGGCUCUUAAGGUUUCUGCUGACACGUCAUUGUCUAGCCUUACAAACAGAAACACAUGCCUCUGCCAGUCCCCACAUGGGAUCCCAGAUGAGAAACCUCUCAAGGAGAAUAACAAAAUGCAGUUGGAAUCAAAGUGUAUGAAGCCUCCCAGACACACCCAGCAGGAGUCACCAGGAAGCAGCUGGGAAGAGGCUGACAGCCCACCAGCAAUGAGACCACAGGAGCUGCUGCUCCCGGGAGGGAGUCUGCUGUCAUCCUCCACUUGCUAGAGUUCUCCCUCCUCUCUGCUUGUUACACACUGCUUCCCUGCUCUAGAGCUUGCUCCAGAGAUGACUUCAACAGAACAGAGUGGCUCUUCCUUACUUGAAACACAGAUCCAUUGUACCUGUGGCUUUGGCUCUGGAUUGUCUUUCUACUUAGAGGAGAACAAGGGUGUGACUGAGCCACAUGAUGGAAAGUAAAGACUAUUGUGACCAUGAAAUUUGGAAGCCAAGCAUAGGAUACCAGGAGAGGUUGGAUAGAAGCAAGAUUUAUCAGAAUUAGCCUUGGAAUCUCUGACUCAAGUAUGGACUAUCAUCAGCCAUUAGCACCAGACAAAAUGCAGCCACUGACAAUCUUCUGGGAUGCCGCUAAGUAUACUUGACCUAACAACUACCAGUAAAACUUUCUGACAUGUGCUUUGAUUCUAGAUUAUCAACUAAGAAUUCAGGGAAACAUUCUACUAAAUAACAUGUCCUAUGUAAGUGAGAUAAUUAUAACAGCCUCCUCACUAGGUUAUGGGCCCCCAAAUUUGUACUUUUCAGAUCUUUCUUCUACGUUGCAGUCAGACACAGAUUUGAUCACGCCACACCAUUGCUCAGAAUUCUUUGGAUGCAACUUACUGCCUAUAGGAUGAAGACCACACUCAGGCAUUUCCUUGAAUGCUGACACAAUCCUACCCCAACCUACCUCACGAUCUUCCUACUGCAUGCAUGCUCCCUUCAGAUCUAAUUGGCUUUUUUUCACUAAUGCCUGCACUUGACCUAAGUGAAGAUUCUGAAGCAGGAGAGAAACUGGUUUUCUAGGCCUAUCUUGAGUCUCUUUUAUCAUUGACCAUCUUUCGCUACCACAAAAGAAUCAUAUUCUAUUGCACAAGACCUAGUGGGCCUCAUUUAAGAUUUUGAACAUUAUUCCAACAAAAUUCCUAAAAUUUUAAGUUUGUACUUAUAUCAUAAAGCUAGACCUUGCAUUUAAAACUCACCUUUAGAAAACUUGCUUUAAAAAAACAAAAACAAGUAAUUUUGAUGAAUUUGGAAAUUCUGUGACUUAAUCUUAUCUGUUAUCUGAGUAAGAGUUUAAGCAACAGUGACACUGGAAAAUAAAAUGAUAUUUAUGUAUAAAACAAUGAUAAUACUAUAGAAUGUCAUCUUUCAGGGUAACAUUUGUUGAGUUACAGAACUGAUUCAUUGAUUGCACUAAAGUUAUACCAUUGAAUAACUUGCAUGGAGGGAAACCAGAAUUAUAACCACGGGUAAAAAUUGAUAUAUUAGAGGUGAAUUUUGGAAGAAAUAAAAAUGUAGAAGGCAAUUAUAAGGGGAGCACUUAAAUUAGGUAUGAAUGGUUUAUGCUAUUGAUUAAAGCAUUUUAAAAAUCAAUAAAAGAACACUUUGUACCAAGUAGCUUUCAGGAACUUUCAGGGAAGACCAUUUGAUUCAGUUCAAAAGUCAGAAGCCUCUGCCCUAACAGGUAAAAAGCG